GAUGAACGCUAGCGGGAGGCUUAACACAUGCAAGUCGAGGGCAUCACGAGGUAGCAAUACUUUGGUGGCGACCGGCGCACGGGUGAGUAACACGUAUGCAACCUACCCUGUACAGGGGGAUAACCCGGAGAAAUUCGGACUAAUAUCCCAUGCAAUUAUUGGAGGGCAUCCUUUGAUAAUUAAAGCUCAGGCGGUAUAGGAUGGGCAUGCGGAACAUUAGCUAGUUGGUAGGGUAACAGCCUACCAAGGCUACGAUGUUUAGGGGACCUGAGAGGGUUAUCCCCCACACUGGUACUGAGACACGGACCAGACUCCUACGGGAGGCAGCAGUGAGGAAUAUUGGUCAAUGGGCGCAAGCCUGAACCAGCCAUCCCGCGUGAAGGAAGAAGGCCCUAUGGGUUGUAAACUUCUUUUCCAGGGGGUGAAUAAUUCCGAUGUAUCGGGAGAUGACGGUACCCUGGGAAUAAGCAUCGGCUAACUCCGUG
This 485-nucleotide ribosomal RNA is filed under the name uncultured bacterium. RNAcentral describes it as "bacterial SSU rRNA". It matches the Rfam family "Bacterial small subunit ribosomal RNA", at positions 28 to 507 of the family's 1533-position model. The record is from RNAcentral.